AUCAAUGAACUGAGCCAUGUUCAAAUCCCUGUUAUGUUGAUGCCAGAUGACUUCAAAGCCUAUUCAAAAAUAAAGGUGGACAAUCACCUUUUUAACAAAGAAAACAUGCCGAGCCAUUUCAAGUUUAAGGAAUACUGCCCGAUGGUCUUCCGUAACCUGCGGGAGAGGUUUGGAAUUGAUGAUCAAGAUUUCCAGGUGAGUUGCGUUUGUAACAUUUGCUUCCAGUAGGAAAUGGGUUUUGCCAUGACUUUUGCUGUGUCAAUUGGGAUCUGUAUUUUUGUCAAUAAAAGUAUUAUAUAAUAGU
This 304-nucleotide long non-coding RNA is filed under the name Homo sapiens (human). RNAcentral's name for it is "non-protein coding lnc-EBLN1-7:1". The record is from RNAcentral. Lineage: Eukaryota; Metazoa; Chordata; Mammalia; Primates; Hominidae.